CGGAGGAAAAGAAACCCACCGGGAUUGCCUUAGUAACGGCGAGUGAAGCGGCAAAAGCUCAAAUUUGAAAUCUGGCGUCUUCGACGUCCGAGUUGUAAUUUGAAGAAGGCGACUUUGUAGCUGGUCCUUGUCUAUGUUCCUUGGAACAGGACGUCAUAGAGGGUGAGAAUCCCGUGUGGCGAGGAUCCCAGUUAUUUGUAAAGUGCUUUCGACGAGUCGAGUUGUUUGGGAAUGCAGCUCUAAGUGGGUGGUAAAUUCCAUCUAAAGCUAAAUAUUGGCGAGAGACCGAUAGCGAACAAGUACAGUGAUGGAAAGAUGAAAAGAACUUUGAAAAGAGAGUGAAAAAGUACGUGAAAUUGUUGAAAGGGAAGGGCAUUUGAUCAGACAUGGCGUUUGCUUCGGCUUUCGCUGGGCCAGCAUCAGUUUUAGCGGUUGGAUAAAUCCUCGGGAAUGUGGCUCUGCUUCGGUAGAGUGUUAUAGCCCGUGGGAAUACAGCCAGCUGGGACUGAGGAUUGCGACUUUUGUCAAGGAUGCUGGCGUAAUGGUUAAAUGCCGCCCGUCUUG
Molecule: ribosomal RNA, 564 nt
Filed under: Kluyveromyces marxianus
Lineage: Eukaryota; Fungi; Ascomycota; Saccharomycetes; Saccharomycetales; Saccharomycetaceae
Description: eukaryotic LSU rRNA
Rfam family: Eukaryotic large subunit ribosomal RNA
Source: RNAcentral